Molecule: ribosomal RNA, 448 nt
Filed under: uncultured bacterium
Lineage: Bacteria
Description: bacterial SSU rRNA
Rfam family: Bacterial small subunit ribosomal RNA
Source: RNAcentral
CUUCCAGACUCCUACGGGAGGCAGCAGUGGGGGAUAUUGCACAAUGGGGGGAACCCUGAUGCAGCGACGCCGCGUGGGUGAAGAAGUAUUUCGGUCUGUAAAGCCCUAUCGGCAGGGAAGAAAUUGGACGGUACCUGACUAAGAAGCCCCGGCUAACUACGUGCCAGCAGCCGCGGUAAUACGUAGGGAGCAAGCGGUGUCCGGAUUUACUGGGUGUAAAGGGAGCGUAGACGGACUUGCAAGUCUGAUGUGAAAAUCCGGGGCCCAACCCCGGGACUGCAUUGGAAACUGUAUAUCUAGAGUGUCGGAGAGGCAAGUGGAAUUCCUGGUGUAGCGGUGAAAUGCGUAGAUAUCAGGAGGAACACCAGUGGCGAAGGCGGCUUGCUGGACGAUGACUGACGUUGAGGCUCGAAAGCGUGGGGAGCAAACAGGAUUAGAUACCCUUGUA